AGUUCAAAAUUGAGUGCCUUUGAUUUUCGUAAUUUCAUCUCGAAUAGAGCAUUGGCCUUUUUAUUUAAUAAUGAUCAGUACAUAUUUUAAAGCAGUGCAAUAAAUCCAAUAACAAAAGCGUGUUGUUCCACCAAGGAAGACUAGCUCGUUUAAAAAAGUUUUUGGAUUGGAUCGCAGCCGUGCGAAUGGUCCUAGACGUAAUAGCAGCAUCAUAGCUGCAGUUGCCGUUAAAUGGCUUUGUGUUCAAAAAUGACUCUGCAUAUUUGGAGUAAUUAAACAAAUCUGCUUAUCCCAGAGGAAUUUAACUUGUUUUGCCGAAGUAACGGAGGAGUUUGAAAUGUUAAGAUUGAUUAUGAUUCGAAAGUAAUCACUAUUAAGUUGAUCAUCAGAAAUAGACCAGGAAACCAGAGAAAAAAGUUGCGUAGACCGACAUCUUAAAUCAAUAUGCUAAAAAGUGUGAUGAGUUGAAAAAUACGUUGGUCUUUUAUCAUUUAAAACGCAGAGAUUGCUUUGAAUGAAGGCAUUUUCUAAAACAGUACCACGAUUCUUGUUCCCUGUUGAGCUCCAGAUGUUGUUCCAACUGCAAAAUUCGCCGCAUAUAAUUAAAGGGGGGAAUUACGGAGAAUAAAUUAUGAAGCUCACUGAGAAAACGAUUGUGAACGCGGAAUAUAGAAUAAAAGCACUGUAAAUUUUAUGUUAAAGACUAUUUGUAUCGCUACGGCUUAUAUGUAUGAGAUUAAACUGAUGCCACUGAAUCAACUCACUGAUUGGAAUAUGAAUUUUGAUCAGUAUUCGAGAAGUAUUCAGUAUAUGUUUUGGGUGAAUAACAUUCUACGAUAGACCUCUUGAAGGGGUAUAAAGGUUGGGUUAAAAUAACUUGUGAGUAUGCGGAGUCCGUCAAAGUUAUUAAUAAGUCCCUCAAUGUUCCAUUGUUGAAUUUUAGUAAUUUUAAUUGUAGUAAAGUGAAAACGUAAUGAUAGGUAAGUGUUGACAUGUUAGCGUCUCCGUCGAAAAUGUCGCUGUACGACUUUUAUCUGAAUAACUUAUUCUUAUUAGUUCUUACGGUACUUAAGUGGUUGCGUUUGAAGUGCAACGAGUGGCCACACGUGAAUAAUUUAAAAUUGAAGGUUGAUUAAAGGAUGAAAGAUUGGAUUCAUUACAACUUGUAAUUUAUUGAAUGUAGUUGAGCGCUGGUGACUCUUAGGUUUUAGGAUAUGUGUUGUUGUUUUAAUUUUUUCAAUAUUAUAUUUGGCAGGUGAUGGAUCUGGUUUCUCAAUAUGGUUUUUGGCUGAUGAUAGAAUGGGUUUGUCAUUGGCAGAACUUGGAGUUAAAAGCUUAUUAGACUCGAUUUGCGAGGCGACGGCAGCGUAGGUAUUACUUUCAUUGAUUCCUUGGAUUUCAGUUGAGUUUAAUUCCCGGUACUUGCGUCGCGGGUUUUAAAAUUUCGGGCAUUCGUAUAUAACGUGGACAUUGUUUGUCUAACGCCGAGUGCUGACCAUUGCAAUUGAUGCAGAAACUACAGAUAUCAGCAUAUGUAGGAAGACCACAAUUAGCUCAAAAUGGAGCACUGGUGCACCUUUUUACCGUAUGACCCAAACGUUGGCAAGUUAUGCAUCUCAUGGGAUUUGGAAUGUAGAGUUCCACUUUAUGCUUAUAGGAAGCCUCAUCAACAAUUUGCGGUGACCGAUAACGGUCAAAAGUCAUAAUUAUCUUACCUAAGUAUAUAAAGAAAAUAAACGCACAGGCGGUAUCCGCGAUAACCAGCUUGGCAAAAAAACUGGAAAGACGAAAAGGUCAGAACAGUCAAAAAAUCGCAGACGUAAACAGAACACGAAUGAAAAUAUAAUAUUAAUGAUGAUGAUCUGUAAAAAAUCAGGAUGGCGUAUUAUGCGCGGUGCAUAAAUUCUAUUACCCGUGCCGCUAGCAGAAAAAGAAGAAAUUCAAAGAGUAACAAAACGGUUUGCAUAAUUACCUGAAAUAAAAUGAGUAAUGUUAUCCGACAAAAAUGGUAAUUUUUCCCUGUUUGAUGGAAGAGAUACUCUCAAUUUAUACUGCCGUGAAAGUUUGGUGAUCGAAUUCCAAGUAAAGCAAAGAAUACAUUGCACUUAUAAAUUUCAGAAGUUUUAGUUUCUGAAUAUCAAUUUUACGUGGCCACGAAGUCAGCGAACUCAGCCAAUGUGUCACCUUGCGAGAUAUCGAAAAACUAAAUUAAAAGUAGUACUGCCGAGAAAUUAAAAGUUAGCCACCACUUUAAGAUAAAAUUUAUUAGCAAUAAAUUAAGAGGUCUAGCAGACCUUCAUAUUCAUUCAUAUUAAAUAACGCUUCCUUAGUGGUGUCUUAAUUUGAUAAUGGAGGUAUUUAUAUAAAUUUUCCAAAUUUUUAAUAACAAAUUUUAUUAGUUCU
Molecule: long non-coding RNA, 2403 nt
Organism: Glossina fuscipes
Lineage: Eukaryota; Metazoa; Arthropoda; Insecta; Diptera; Glossinidae
Exons: 3
Source: RefSeq, a predicted model, not a curated record